GACGAACGCUGGCGGCGUGCUUAACACAUGCAAGUCGAACGGAAAGGCCCUGCUUUUGUGGGGUGCUCGAGUGGCGAACAGGUGAGUAACACGUGAGUAACCUGCCCUUGACUUUGGGAUAACUUCAGGAAACUGGGGCUAAUACCGGAUAGGAGCUCCUGCUGCAUGGUGGGGGUUGGAAAGUUUCGGCGGUUGGGGAUGGACUCGCGGCUUAUCAGCUUGUUGGUGGGGUAGUGGCUUACCAAGGCUUUGACGGGUAGCCGGCCUGAGAGGGUGACCGGCCACAUUGGGACUGAGAUACGGCCCAGACUCCUACGGGAGGCAGCAGUGGGGAAUAUUGCACAAUGGGCGGAAGCCUGAUGCAGCAACGCCGCGUGCGGGAUGACGGCCUUCGGGUUGUAAACCGCUUUCGCCUGUGACGAAGCGUGAGUGACGGUAAUGGGUAAAGAAGCACCGGCUAUCUACGUG
Molecule: ribosomal RNA, 468 nt
Filed under: uncultured bacterium
Lineage: Bacteria
Description: partial 16S ribosomal RNA
Rfam family: Bacterial small subunit ribosomal RNA
Source: RNAcentral